Molecule: non-coding RNA, 72 nt
Organism: Phthorimaea operculella (potato tuberworm)
Lineage: Eukaryota; Metazoa; Arthropoda; Insecta; Lepidoptera; Gelechiidae
Source: the annotation of a GenBank genome assembly
GCAUCGAUAGUUCAGUGGCAGAGCGGUGGAGCGUUUACCCAUGCGGCCCGGGUUCGAUUCCCGGUCGAUGUA